UUAAAGAUAAUUUAUUGUGAAGUGAGAGGAAGUCACAAAGCAAAAUGGAAUGGGGACAGGUGUCAAAGAUAAAUUUUAAAAAUGUUUUUGUCAAAUACUAUUCUGGAUUUCCUAAGGUUAGAAACAAGAAAAGAAUCAAGUGAAAAGGUAAUCGUUCUUUUCAAAAGAUUUGAAUUUGUAAAGAAAACAACUUUUCUCUGAAAAUACAAAUCAUCCUUCUUACAUGAAACCUAUAAGACUGAAAAAAAAAAGACUUUAGUAAACUGUAUCUCUCAGAUAUGCUUAGGAAUGUUUGGUUUUAAGGAGAUUUAUAAGGAGUUUUAAAAAUCAUGGCUUCCACUUUGUAAAUGAACCUAAGUCCAGCAAUGAUCAAUGUCACUUGAUCCACCCUGAAGUGUCCCAUUAUGUCUUCUUAUGCUUAUGCUUCUUUCCUGUAACUUGCAGCAAAGCAGGUUUGAAGGAAAAGAAAGGAUUAGAAGGAACUACAGUUAGUUCCCUAGUGAAUAACUUAAGACAAAACCUGCUUUUCCAUUCACAUUACACAUUCACAAUUGCUCACUUCUACUUACUUUACUGGUAUAUUUCAGAUUCUCUCCACACCUAGAAUGCUUUGUCCGAACCUAAUCCAACCCCCAGAACAAAAAACAAAGUCUCACGUGGAUAUCUCAAAACAUAGCUGUGUACAAAGGCCAUGGUUUCCCAUAUAUCUCUCCUGUCAUGCUGCCCACAAUAUUGUUCUGAGCUCAUUGAAGUGUUCCCGUUGGGCCAGAAUAAAGCCUUGGGAACUCUCUUAACACAAUUUAAAAAUUACAUUUACCACUUGUCUUGAAUGAGAAGAUUAUGAAAUCAGAGAGAAAAACCCAUUUUUAUCAAGAAAUGCCACGUAAUGGACUCUUCCAGAGGCAGAUAGUGUUUGUCACUCUGAGUGAUGAAGGUGAUCACGGAGUCCCAGGGUGCCCUCUUUACCAGUCCCCGCUGAGCUUUACUACGGCAAACUCAGGACCAUGGACCCAACAGCAGGAUCCACCCAGAGAUGCAUCCAAACGAGAGUAUGACAGACUAAACACUGUUAAAGCUGAAGAGGACACCAGACGGUUUGGCUCUAGAGGUUUCCAAUGACUCUAAAUGAGAGCGAUGAUAAUCACACCUGCUCUCCUCAGAACAAAAGUCCCCACUGUGGCUCCAGGGUACCCACAGAGCUAUCGAUUCUGCUUUCAGGAUACAUGGAAGCCAUCAAAAGAAACCCAAAAAUACAGCGGGAAUCCGGGCUUAUAAAACUCUACAGCCCUUGAGCACGUGAUAUAAUUUGGAUGUAUUCAAAGAAAAUAUUCGCGAUUGUUCUUUCCAAUAUUGAAAGAGAAAAAGCCACCUGCCCCUUUCUUCACUCAAAAACCUCGGGGAUUGGCAGGAGGAGGAAGUAUGGGCUGGUGGGGAGGCAGGGUGAGCAGGGGGCUAAAGCCAGAAACAGUCUGGCCCACCACACCCCCUGGCCCAGCGGCCCUUUCUGCUGCCUUUUUUUUUUUUUUUUUAAAGAUUUUAUUUCUUUAUUCAUGAGAGACACAGAGAGAGGCACAGGCAGAGGAUGACACAGGCUCCAUGCAGGGAGCCCAAUGCGGGACUUAAUCCUGGACCCUGGGAUCAUGUCCUGAGCCAAAGGCAGCCGCUCAGCCGCUGAGCCCCCCAAGCGCCCCCCUUUCUACUUCUGAGGCCGACUCAGCUGAACUCACAAAGUGUUGUCCAUUUGCACCUCACGCCCUGAUUGUCACUGCCAUUACAGUAAGCACUUACAAGAAAUGUGCGCCAUCACCACAGCGCCCAGGUGUGGGAGUUUGACUCCUGACAGCAAUCCCGGCCUUUCUUUCACCUGGAGGGAAAGCCUUUGGGCUUAGACUAAAGUCAGGGGCAGGAUUCCAUGGAAGUUGAUCCAGGGUCCCUGGAGAGGAGACUCAUCCAGAUGAAACAGAUCACCAGAAACAUCUCCAUCUGCCUCUCUCAGAAGCCAUGCAGUCCUGGGUGUGGCCGGCCCUUCCC
RNAcentral lists this long non-coding RNA (2031 nucleotides) under Canis lupus familiaris (dog). RNAcentral describes it as "lncRNA (ENSCAFG00845013919.1)". Lineage: Eukaryota; Metazoa; Chordata; Mammalia; Carnivora; Canidae. The record is from RNAcentral.